GAGGGAGUGGCCCAGUCCGUAGAGCGCAACCUUGCCAAGGUUGAGGUCGCGAGUUCGAGUCUCGUUACCCGCUCCA
This 76-nucleotide transfer RNA is filed under the name Stenotrophomonas maltophilia. Its description in RNAcentral is "tRNA-Gly(gcc)". It matches the Rfam family "tRNA". From Rfam's summary of the family: Transfer RNA (tRNA) molecules are approximately 80 nucleotides in length. The record is from RNAcentral. Lineage: Bacteria; Pseudomonadati; Pseudomonadota; Gammaproteobacteria; Lysobacterales; Lysobacteraceae.